AGUGAACGCUGGCGGCAGGCCUAAUACAUGCAAGUCGAACGGCAGCACAGCUUAAGCUUGCUUAAGUGGGUGGCGAGUGGCGGACGGGUGAGGAAUACGUGGGAAUCUGCCCAGUCGUGGGGGAUAACGUAGGGAAACUUACGCUAAUACCGCAUGCGCCCUUUGGGGGAAAGCCGGGAUCUUCGGACCUGGCGCGAUUGGAUGAGCCCACGUCGGAUUAGCUAGUUGGAGGGGUAAAGGCCCACCAAGGCGACGAUCCGUAGCUGGUCUGAGAGGAUGAUCAGCCACACUGGAACUGAGACACGGUCCAGACUCCUACGGGAGGCAGCAGUAGGGAAUAUUGGACAAUGGGCGCAAGCCUGAUCCAGCCAUGCCGCGUAAGUGAAGAAGGCCCUCGGGUUGUAAAGCUCUUUUGUUGGGGAAGAAAAGCCUUGGGUUAAUACCCUGAGGUUCUGACGGUACCCAAAGAAUAAGCACCGGCUAACUUCGUGCCAGCAGCCGCAGUAA
RNAcentral lists this ribosomal RNA (507 nucleotides) under uncultured bacterium. RNAcentral describes it as "partial 16S ribosomal RNA". It matches the Rfam family "Bacterial small subunit ribosomal RNA", at positions 29 to 523 of the family's 1533-position model. The record is from RNAcentral.